This is a non-coding RNA of Sus scrofa (pig), 2356 nucleotides long. The record is from RefSeq and is a predicted model, not a curated record. NCBI's taxonomy places the organism in Eukaryota, Metazoa, Chordata, Mammalia, Artiodactyla, Suidae.
ACCUGCAUCCACGCCUGGAUUCCUAAUCCUGGGGAGUCCGAUAGGAAUAGGCUGAGUGAGAGCAAGCCAGUUCAGAUUUUCCAAGGAGCUCAGAGCAGCCUCAGAAGGUGGCGUGUGCUAUGGAGGGGAGGGAGCACGGUGAGUGGCGGGAGAGAUAGGAACCCACUUUGUGUUGAGGGAUGAGUACAAACUCACACCCUCUCACUCACAGCCUGCAUUGCUGCAGACAGCCUCACGUUCCUCCUCCAACUAUACAACGACUGCGGUGUGUGAUGUUACACAAGGCGAGCCACAAGUGUGCCGUUCUCGCUACAAACACGCACACAAACAAUUCCCACUGUUUUCUUCGCAGUGCACCCCACCAAGCGCCUGUGGGUGGUUGCCACGCGGCCACCGCGCGGAGGGCUCUGCUCCCCCAGCCCGGAGGGAGGAGGGUCCAACUCAACUGACGGUCGGCGUGGGGGGUGGAGAUUUCCCAGGCCCGCGCUUGGGUUUCCAGCCCCGCCGCUCUGGCGGGCGACGGCACCCCCACGCGCCUGAGGCCGGGCUCGGGGGCUGCGGGCCACCCUGAAUGCCGACCGAAGACCCCAGCCAGGCCCUGAAGGCCCAGCGGCCGCCGCUGCCACCCCGAAGUCUACGGCAAUCUGGCCUCCUUGUGUGUGCGAGGAGGUGGCGCGCGGAGCAGGGAGGGGGCGAGGCCCCACUCCCGUGUGCCGCCCCGAGGGGGGACCUUUGGUAGGAGCUGCUCCGGCCACCUCACGUUUUUCGCGCUGUGGUCCCAGAGCCCAAAUAUCUUCAGUUCCUGCCCGGGGGAGUCGCCGAGUCCCUAAAGCUGAAGACCCAGAAGCGGGAGCGGGACCUGGAGCUUUGCCACAGAAACGCCGGACAAUUUCCUCCUGGACGCUCACGUUCCGAUUCAGGCCCCGGGGCCCCAUCGCCUGCCCGAGACCAGAUGCGCAUUUCUCACAUCAAUUUUGCUGAGAAAGAGAGCCCAGCGGCCCGGAGGCGGGACCCUCCUCUAGUGACAGCGGCCACUCGCCAGCCCAGCGACAACAAAAGCCCAGGGAGAAACCCCGCUCCAUUCGGAAAAGUGAAAGCUGCCUAUGGUCCUGCCCCAGCUGCCCUCAGGGUGCAGGGACCCCCAAGAGUCCUUGGGAGAUUGAUGUCUCUGUCCCCAGCUGGGUUCGAGGCCCAGAAUUUUUGUGACCAUCACCGGAAAUUCACCUCAACCCUCAGACACUUCGGGCUCACAUCUCCCUGUGCCCCUGUGAGCAAUUCAGCCUGCCCUUGGUGUCUUCGACCUAGUUUUCCUCCCUCUCCCAAGGGUAAGGCCCUCUGGCUAACCGAAACUUGGGAGCCCUCAGGCUCCAUCCUGCUGUCCGACUGAUACCACCCGAAGCUUAGCCAGUGCCCCAAGGAGCGGGGAAGGAAUUCCCUCGGGUCCUGGGUAGGAUGCAUGAGCCCCAGGGCAAGUCUCCCCCCAUGCAGCCUUUGCCCCACACAAAUUAAUUCUGCACCCGUGCAGCCCUCAAAGUAUGCACACGUUUUCUCCCAGCAUUGCACGCCUCACUUUUUACCCGGACCUGGCGAAGCCUGCUUCUCUCACCCCUGCACCACUUGGUAGCUACCGCCGGUUUGUGCAAGAAGCGCCUCCUCCCUCACUACUUACCCCCACAUCCCUCAUUCUCAUGCCUGCCCCGAAACUCCUCCAAAUCUCCAAGGCCUGGGCAGAGGGUGACUAGCAGCGGCGAGACACCCAGAACCUGCCACGGCUUCACUGAAUAGGGCCCACUCAUUCAGACACCGUCACCGCCGGUUCUAGUAAAAUGGCAAAGACUUUAUUUAUCGGAGAAAGAGGCCUUGGGUACAGUCUGGGGAGGAGAGGGCAGGGCAGGAGCAGGGGAGUGGCACGCAGGACCCACCCUCAUCUGGCCACCCUUUUCUGGCCAAGUCGAGCUAGGAGCAGGGCAUUGGAAACUGCAAGACAGACCCAGAGCUGCAGAGGAGGUGGGGCGAGGGCUUAAGUCGGCCUCCUCUCGAUCUCUGUCACAUGCAAAAAAAUUCUAAAAAGAGUAAAAAAUAAUUCUAGGGCUUUGGGUUCCGUUUUCGUUGGUUGGUUGGAUUUCCCCCUGUUUUGUCCCUAAGACUCGGACCCCUCGGUAGUCAGUCCAAGGAAACCGAGAGAGGGUGGGAAGGAAUCUUAAAAAUAGCGUUACUGGGCAUUUGGAGGCAGAAAUGGCACUGAGAACAGGCUUCUCUCGAGGGGGGAAGAAAACAUCUAUUUGAAACUUGCAAGUCAAGACCCAGUUGCCCCCCUCAGCCCCUUCCGACGCAGGGGGGGAAAUGCAGAAGGAAA